CGCCAGACUCCUACGGGAGGCAGCAGUGGGGAAUAUUGCACAAUGGGGGGAACCCUGAUGCAGCGACGCCGCGUGGGUGAAGGAGUAUUUCGGUAUGUAAAGCCCUAUCAGCAGGGAAGAACAAUGACGGUACCUGACUAAGAAGCACCGGCUAAAUACGUGCCAGCAGCCGCGGUAAUACGUAUGGUGCAAGCGUUAUCCGGAUUUACUGGGUGUAAAGGGAGCGCAGGCGGUACGGCAAGUCUGAUGUGAAAGCCCGGGGCUCAACCCCGGUACUGCAUUGGAAACUGUCGGACUAGAGUGUCGGAGGGGUAAGUGGAAUUCCUAGUGUAGCGGUGAAAUGCGUAGAUAUUAGGAGGAACACCAGUGGCGAAGGCGGCUUACUGGACGAUUACUGACGCUGAGGCUCGAAAGCGUGGGGAGCAAACAGGAUUAGAUACCCCAGUA
RNAcentral lists this ribosomal RNA (447 nucleotides) under uncultured bacterium. RNAcentral's name for it is "bacterial SSU rRNA". It matches the Rfam family "Bacterial small subunit ribosomal RNA", at positions 329 to 792 of the family's 1533-position model. The record is from RNAcentral.